Molecule: long non-coding RNA, 1070 nt
Filed under: Salvia miltiorrhiza (redroot sage)
Lineage: Eukaryota; Viridiplantae; Streptophyta; Magnoliopsida; Lamiales; Lamiaceae
Description: long non-coding RNA (SMIL_LNC005641)
Source: RNAcentral
CCACCCGCGCCGCUCGCCUAUCCUCCGGCCGGCGGCCGUGCACCUCCGAAUCAGCCCCUCCGGCCUUCCCCACCUGAGAGCAGCAGCGUGAGCAGCAGGCAACGCCGCUCCAUCUCCGGCCGCUCCAUCUCCGUCCACCUUCGUCCACCUCCGGUCUCGGCCUUUCCCCCACCCGAAAUCUGUGGACUUGAGCGGAGGCUCUGCUGCAGAGCAGGUUCUCGGCGUGAGCAGAGCAGCGCAAGGCAACGCCAAUCCAUCUCCGGCCGCUCCUCUCCGGCCGCUGCUCGUCCUCUCCGACCGCUCCUCUCCGGCCGCUGCUCAUCCUCUCAUCAGGUAAACCUUCAUUCAGCUUUACUUUUGUUACUUUUGUUACUUUUGUUGUCUAUUCAAAUUUGUGUAUCAAUUCUUGUAUAUCACUAGAUGAUAAGUUGAUGAUGCAUUUGUAUUUAAGAAUAAUAUCUGGAACAUGUGAUGUGGAGUUGUUGUUGCCUAGUGAUGUUUUGUUAGCUAAUCUUUAUUUAGCAAUUGGUGGCAUAUGCUGUGCUCUUGAUUUUGAUGAGAUGAUUCUGCUACUUGUGUUGUGGUUAAUGCAAUGUUAUGUUAUGGUUUAUGAUGUGCAUUAUAUAUUUGAGUUGUGUUUAUCAGUAAGUAUAUUUUGUGGAAAGAACAAUAACAAUAUUAUUGAGCUAAUUAUGUGUGUAACUUGUACAGAAAAUCAUCAUAUAAUGCAGUUGAGAACUUUUGCUUAACUUGAUGGAAUUGACUAUGAAAUAAUUGUGUUCAUUUUUGCUUUAUUGUAGAAAAUGGAAGAACAAUCCAUUAAUUCAAAUAGUGAAACUGUUCAGUCUCAAAUACCAAAUGAUGGGGCAGCCGGCGUGGUUGAAGGCUUUGUUGACCUUGAACGAGAUAACAAUACCACCGAGGUUUCGAAAGAAAAUGAAGCAGAUCCAAUUAGUGGUGUUACUAUAAAAACAAGUAAGAAAGUCACUUCUGAAGCUUGGGACCACUUUGAUAAGAUUGUGGAGAAGGGUGUUACAAAGGCGAAGUGCAAAUAUUGCAAAGCUGUUUUG